RNAcentral lists this ribosomal RNA (435 nucleotides) under uncultured bacterium. RNAcentral's name for it is "bacterial SSU rRNA". It matches the Rfam family "Bacterial small subunit ribosomal RNA", at positions 43 to 524 of the family's 1533-position model. The record is from RNAcentral.
CAGGCCUAACACAUGCAAGUCGAACGCACUCUUCGGAGUGAGUGGCAGACGGGUGAGUAACACGUGGGAACGUGCCCUUCGGUUCGGAAUAACUCAGGGAAACUUGAGCUAAUACCGGAUACGCCCCUCGGGGGAAAGGUUUACUGCCGAGGGAUCGGCCCGCGUCUGAUUAGCUAGUUGGUGGGGUAAUGGCCUACCAAGGCGACGAUCAGUAGCUGGUCUGAGAGGAUGAUCAGCCACACUGGGACUGAGACACGGCCCAGACUCCUACGGGAGGCAGCAGUGGGGAAUAUUGGACAAUGGGCGCAAGCCUGAUCCAGCCAUGCCGCGUGAGUGAUGAAGGCCUUAGGGUUGUAAAGCUCUUUCGACGGGGACGAUAAUGACGGUACCCGUAGAAGAAGCCCCGGCUAACUUCGUGCCAGCAGCCGCGGUAAU